This 440-nucleotide ribosomal RNA is filed under the name uncultured bacterium. RNAcentral's name for it is "partial 16S ribosomal RNA". It matches the Rfam family "Bacterial small subunit ribosomal RNA", at positions 338 to 795 of the family's 1533-position model. The record is from RNAcentral.
CCUACGGGCGGCAGCAGUGGGGGAUAUUGCACAAUGGGGGGAACCCUGAUGCAGCGACGCCGCGUGGGUGAAGGAGUGCUUCGGCAUGUAAAGCCCUAUCGGCAGGGAAGAAGCAAGACGGUACCUGACUAAGAAGCCCCGGCUAACUACGUGCCAGCAGCCGCGGUAAUACGUAGGGGGCGAGCGUUAUCCGGAUUUAUUGGGUUUAAAGGGUGCGUAGGCGGAAUAUCAAGUCAGCGGUAAAAAUUCGGGGCUCAACCCCGUCGUGCCGUUGAAACUGAUGUUCUUGAGUGGGCGAGAAGUAUGCGGAAUGUGUGGUGUAGCGGUGAAAUGCAUAGAUAUCACGCAGAACUCCGAUUGCGAAGGCAGCAUACCGGCGCCCAACUGACGCUGAAGCACGAAAGCGUGGGUAUCGAACAGGAUUAGAUACCCUAGUAGUC